This 425-nucleotide ribosomal RNA is filed under the name uncultured bacterium. Its description in RNAcentral is "bacterial SSU rRNA". It matches the Rfam family "Bacterial small subunit ribosomal RNA", at positions 30 to 507 of the family's 1533-position model. The record is from RNAcentral.
CGAACGCUGGCGGCAGGCUUAACACAUGCAAGUCGAGCGCCCGCAAGGGGAGCGGCAGACGGGUGAGUAACGCGUGGAAACGUGCCCUUUGGUUCGGAACAACUCCGGGAAACUGGAGCUAAUACCGGAUAAGCCCUUCGGGGGAAAGAUUUAUCGCCAAAGGAUCGGCCGCGUCUGAUUAGCUAGUUGGUGAGGUAAUGGCUCACCAAGGCGACGAUCAGUAGCUGGUCUGAGAGGAUGAUCAGCCACACUGGGACUGAGACACGGCCCAGACUCCUACGGGAGGCAGCAGUGGGAAUAUUGGACAAUGGGCGCAAGCCUGAUCCAGCCAUGCCGCGUGAGUGAUGAAGGCCUUAGGGUUGUAAAGCUCUUUGUCCGGGAAGAUAAUGACUGUACCGGAAGAAUAAGCCCCGGCUAACUUCGUG